AACCUUGAAACAUACUUACCUGGACGGGGUCUAUGGCUGAUCAAGAAGAGACAUGGCCUAGGCAAGUGGCCCAUAUUGCACUUUGUGGGUGUGCUGGCUUACCAUCUCCUCUUUGAGGGAGAGUGGACGUCAUAA
Molecule: ribosomal RNA, 135 nt
Filed under: Triticum aestivum (bread wheat)
Lineage: Eukaryota; Viridiplantae; Streptophyta; Magnoliopsida; Poales; Poaceae
Description: partial small subunit ribosomal RNA
Rfam family: U1 spliceosomal RNA
About the family: U1 is a small nuclear RNA (snRNA) component of the spliceosome (involved in pre-mRNA splicing). Its 5' end forms complementary base pairs with the 5' splice junction, thus defining the 5' donor site of an intron.
Source: RNAcentral